Molecule: ribosomal RNA, 468 nt
Filed under: uncultured bacterium
Lineage: Bacteria
Description: partial 16S ribosomal RNA
Rfam family: Bacterial small subunit ribosomal RNA
Source: RNAcentral
GACGAACGCUGGCGGCGUGCUUAACACAUGCAAGUCGAACGGAAAGGCCCUGCUUUUGGGGGGUGCUCGAGUGGCGAACGGGUGAGUAACACGUGAGUAACCUGCCCUUGACUGUGGGAUAACUUCAGGAAACUGGGGCUAAUACCGGAUAGGAGCUCCUGCUGCAUGGUGGGGGUUGGAAAGUUUCGGCGGUUGGGGAUGGACUCGCGGCUUAUCAGCUUGUUGGUGGGGUUGUGGCUUACAAAGGCUUUGAUGGGUAGCCGGCAUGAGAGGGUGACCGGCCUCAGUGGGGCUGUGAUACGGCCCCGACUCCUACGGGAGGCAGCGGUGGGGAAUAUUGCACAAUGGGCGGAAGCCUGAUGCAGCACCGCCGCGUGCGGGAUGACCGCCUUCGUGUUGUAUACCGCUUUCGCCUGUGACGAAGCGUUAGUGACGGUAAUGGGUAAAGAAGCACCGGCUAACUACGUG